Molecule: ribosomal RNA, 496 nt
Filed under: uncultured bacterium
Lineage: Bacteria
Description: partial 16S ribosomal RNA
Rfam family: Bacterial small subunit ribosomal RNA
Source: RNAcentral
AUGAACGCUGGCGGCGCGCCUAAUACAUGCACGUCGAGCGCACGGACGAGAAGCUUGCUUCUCUGAUGUUAGCGGCGGACGGGUGAGUAACACGUGGAUAACCUACCUAUAAGACUGGGAUAACUUCGGGAAACCGGAGCUAAUACCGGAUAAUAUUUUGAACCGCAUGGUUCAAAAGUGAAAGACGGUCUUGCUGUCACUUAUAGAUGGAUCCGCGCUGCAUUAGCUAGUUGGUAAGGUAACGGCUUACCAAGGCAACGAUGCAUAGCCGACCUGAGAGGGUGAUCGGCCACACUGGAACUGAGACACGGUCCAGACUCCUACGGGAGGCAGCAGUAGGGAAUCUUCCGCAAUGGGCGAAAGCCUGACGGAGCAACGCCGCGUGAGUGAUGAAGGUCUUCGGAUCGUAAAACUCUGUUAUUAGGGAAGAACAUAUGUGUAAGUAACUGUGCACAUCUUGACGGUACCUAAUCAGAAAGCCACGGCUAACUACGUG